AAUUUUGGACAAUGGGGGAAACCCUGAUCCAGCCAUCCCGCGUGUAUGAUGAAGGCCUUCGGGUUGUAAAGUACUUUUGGCAGAGAAGAAAAGGCAUUCCCUAAUACGGGAUGCUGCUGACGGUAUCUGCCGACUAAGCACCGGCUCACUACGUCCCAGCCGUCGCGGUAAUACGUAGGGAUCAAGCGUUAAUCGGAAUUACUGGGCGUAAAGCGUGUGUAGGCGGUUCGGAAAGAAGGAUGUGAAAUCCCAGGGCUCAACCUUGGAACUGCAUUCUUAACUACCGAACUAGAGUAUGUCAGAGGGGGGUAGAAUUCCGCGUGUAGCAGUGAAAUGCGUAGAUAUGCGGAGGAAUACCGAUGGCGAAGGCAGCCCCCUGGGAUAAUACUGACGCUCAUGCACGAAAGCGUGGGUAGCAAACAGG
Molecule: ribosomal RNA, 424 nt
Filed under: uncultured bacterium
Lineage: Bacteria
Description: partial 16S ribosomal RNA
Rfam family: Bacterial small subunit ribosomal RNA
Source: RNAcentral